AUGAAUCAGCACCCAUAUGGGAUCCCGGUGCGUUCAAGAAGUUUCUUCAAUAUCAACAUUUUAAAGAUCCUAGACUCAGAUGGUCUUAAACCUAAUUCCAUCAAAGCAGGUGAUACAGUAAGUUUGUAUGUCAUGCUUCUGAAUUGGAUCAAUAUUUGUGAAAUGUAAUUAAUCAUAUAUAAAAUGUCUUUCACUGUUGCUCCUGUAGAAACAUUUAAUAAAUGGAGAAGGUCAACAUUCCCUCUUUUAAAAGAUGAAAUUCAGAUGAAGUUAGAGAAGACAUAAAACAAGUACUUGAGU
Long non-coding RNA from Ochotona curzoniae (black-lipped pika), 300 nucleotides. RefSeq lists it as uncharacterized. NCBI's taxonomy places the organism in Eukaryota, Metazoa, Chordata, Mammalia, Lagomorpha, Ochotonidae. The transcript is spliced from 2 exons. The record is from RefSeq and is a predicted model, not a curated record.